AUUGAACGCUGGCGGCAGGCCUAACACAUGCAAGUCGAACGAUCGGCGGACGGGUGAGUAAUGUCUGGGAAACUGCCUGAUGGAGGGGGAUAACUACUGGAAACGGUAGCUAAUACCGCAUACCAUCAGAUGUGCCCAGAUGGGAUUAGCUAGGUGGUGGGGUAACGACUCACCAAGGCGACGAUCCCUAGCUGGUCUGAGAGGAUGACCGGCCACACUGGAACUGAGACACGGUCCAAAAACCUACGGGAGGCAGCAGUGGGGAAUAUUGCACAAUGGGCGCAAGCCUGAUGAAGCCAUGCCGCGUGUGAGAAGAAGGCCUUCGGGUUGUAAAGUACUUUCAGCGGGGAGGCGUUACCCGCAGAAGAAGCACCGGCUAACUCCGUGCCAGCCACCGCGGUAAUAC
Molecule: ribosomal RNA, 406 nt
Filed under: uncultured bacterium
Lineage: Bacteria
Description: partial 16S ribosomal RNA
Rfam family: Bacterial small subunit ribosomal RNA
Source: RNAcentral